AAGGCCGCGGAGGGCAAGAUGGCGGCGGGCCGAGCGCCGCCUCUUCCGCCUGCCGGGUGUCGCA
Molecule: microRNA precursor, 64 nt
Filed under: Rattus norvegicus (Norway rat)
Lineage: Eukaryota; Metazoa; Chordata; Mammalia; Rodentia; Muridae
Description: mir-718 microRNA precursor family
Rfam family: mir-718 microRNA precursor family
Source: Rfam by way of RNAcentral